Long non-coding RNA from Equus caballus (horse), 13818 nucleotides. The record is from Ensembl. NCBI's taxonomy places the organism in Eukaryota, Metazoa, Chordata, Mammalia, Perissodactyla, Equidae.
UGAAACUCGCCAGGAAAUUUCACAGCCGGAUUGCUCCUAGGAUGUGUUUCAUUUGCCGUGAGAUACUCAGUGGCGUGUGUGCACGUGUGCGCGCAUGAGCUACCGGAGGAGCGGCUGGUUGUUUCAGGUUUUGUGAAAGCCAUCAUAACGGGAGGAGGCCCAAACAGCCUGUGAUGAGUGAGGUGCAAGUGGAAAGGAACUGUGGCCGCCAGCCCUCAGCCUUAGCCAAACUCCCAGCUGCCAGCCAGCAGGAACCUGCCAGCCAUAAGUGAGCCAUCUUGAAAGCGCAUCCUUCAGCCCCAGUCAAGCCAUCUCAGCUGGCGCUGUGUGGCACAAAGAUGAACCAUCCUUGUUCAUCCCUACCUACAAUGCAGGUUUUAGAUUUGGGGCUGGCCCCGUGGCCGAGCGGUUAAGUUCGCGCGCUUGCUGCAGGCGGCCCAGUGUUUCGUUGGUUCGAAUCCUGGGCGCGGACAUGACACUGCUCAUCAAACCACGCUGAGGCAGCGUCCCACAUGCCACAACUAGAAGGACCCACAACAAAGAAUAUACAACUAUGUACUGGGGGGCUUUGGGGAGAAAAAAAAAGGAAAAAAUAAAAUCUUUAAAAAAAAAAUGGUUUUAGAUUUUAGAUGGCUAUAUAUUUCUUUCCUACUGAAAAUUUAUACUUUAUUUUACAAACACACUAAAAUCAAAUAUAUUUUAUUCAGCAUAAUAAUGCUAAGAUCAUAUAUAUAGAAAAGAUAUAUUUUCUCUUUUUAAUCUUGAUGAGUAGCGUUUGUUUACCUGCAGCCCUCUCUUCUUACAAAUAAAUUGCUUUUAAAGUUGAUGAUGGUCCAAACACUUAAAUUCACUGCAAGACUCAUACUAAUAACAUAAUUAAAAAAAUUAUUAUUUUAAGUGAAAUAGCUGUUAUGAAAUUAGGACUUUUACAUAAUGUUACAAUGAAAUAGAAGACCUGAGUUUUGGACUUGAAAUUACAAACCACAGUUUUAGAGAAGAAAGGGCUUCUGAGUUGACUUCGGGUCCAGCUUCCUUAUUUGAUGGAUGAGGAAACUGAGGCAGGGAGAAAUGACAUGAGUAUCUCUGAGUUUCACAUUAAUUUGCACUAGAAUUCAGGGUUCCAGUGAUUUCUUUGAUCAUAACCAUGUUCCUGGAGAGGACUGUCUUUGAGAGAUGAUACGGAGGAAGGUGACAUGUAGACUAUUUACCUACACAUCUUCACAUACAAAAUAAAAUGUGGUCUAUUUUUGUUUUCGCAAUUAUGUGAGGCACCUUUUGAUUUCUGCAUCAUAACCCCAUGGCUAAAGCUGCUUGGUGACCAUCUCGAAAGGAAGCACAAAAUCGCCAAUGCUAUUCUUCCCAUCUAGAAUUUCAUCAUAGAAUUCCACUAGAGGGAAAUCUAUGAAGAGUUCACUGAAAACUGAAGAGCUUCUAGGAUUAAACUAGCAAAGUAUGUUUAGUUCAUCUUGUAGUAUUUUUUAGAUUAAAAUCAGUGGAACAUUUACAUUAAAAGGUAUCUCAGGUUUUACCAAACCCACUAUGCUUGCAAAAAAAAAAAUCUAUCAAAUAGUCCAUCUCUAGAUUCUAGAGCUUAGAAGUCAAGAGAGAACAGUGAGAGGAAAAUGAUCUUAUAGACACGGCUUUGGGGUGGUGUGGUGCUAAUGGUGAUUUCAUUGCAGUGGGCAGGCAUCCAAGGGUAUUCUGGGCAAGUCUUAUUUUCCAAGGCAUGUUCUAGUUCUAUGAAAGCACCAUAGCAAAUUUUUUUUGAGAUAUAUUUGAGACUGGACUCUGGCGUUGAGUCUUUCUGAGUAUGUGGCAGCAUAAUGACAUAUUAUCUGGGAUUUUAGGCUCCCCUUUGACGUGCAAGUGAUCAAAUCUACCAUUUCCACUAGAUGGCAUUAGAAACUUCUGAAGCCAUGAACUAAUUACUAGUCACCUUUGUUAGGCUGUAAAUUACACUUGCAUGUUUUAGGAGGUAAUUGACAAUUGGCUUUCUGGUGCAUUUUAACUCUGAUGCCAGGCACAUGGUUAAGAUAGUGGUAUCAGAUCUCUCCCGUGACAUAAAUAGCUCCUGGGAUUGUUAGAAUGUCAUUCCAAGUCUCACAUUUCAAGGAAGCGUUUUGAAAGCAGCAUAUACCGUCACCCCACCGUAAAUCAAAAUCAAGUCACACUACCUCCUCCUAUCCUGGCUAGGCCAUCAAUUUAGAGCGAACAUAUUAGGUGAAAAAGGUAAAGCAAAACUUUUGUUUUCCCAGCAUUCAGAAGAAUUUUUGUUUGUUUGUUUCUUUUGAAUGCGAUGCUGUGUUUCAAGCAUGAGGGAGCCAAAAAAUAAUCUGCAGAUUUGUCAGCUUCUUCCAGCGGUUGUUACAGAGGAACUGUGAGGGUUUUUAAAUUAUAAAUGAAAAUUUACAGUGCCUAGAAUGGGUGCGUGUCCCAGUAUUUCUGAAAAGUCUCUGCUACUUUAGAUUCUCUGUCUAGCUAAGCCAAGAAACAGUAGGUUUGGGGGGUGUGUGCGCUUGUAUGUAUCUUUUUCUUUUCUCGCAGUGGUGUGUCUCUGUGGCUGCCCCCACUGCUGCUGCCUGCUUCCUAGCCUGGCUUUCAUCAUUUCUUCCUGUUGAUUGGUGUCACCUCACAUGCUUAGAAUGUCUGCCUGUCUGUUCAGAGUGUGAACACAUUCCUCAGAAUGCUGAUCUGCUCGUUUCACACCAGUGUCAAAACGACUUAUUAAAUUCAGCACCUCCUGAUACUCAGUGGCUGAUGUGUUGCUGUCCAAACAGUAAAUGACAAUAAGCAUAUGCAGCUGGUGGGCCUAGCAAACUCAUUUAAUUUGAUAAAAAUGUCACUGCAACAUGCUUUAAAUCGCUGUCCUUUUCAUCAUUGCUAAUUGCUAGCUAUAGACCUUUUUCCUAUGCUUAAUACAAGUGUUAGAAUACUGCUCCUUCCAGCCUGAUUAAGAAUUAAAAAAAAAAAUGUAGAAUUCCUUUUCAGUGGCAGCAUUAUUUCAUCAAGAGAUGGAUUUUGCUCUUAAUUAGCCAACAUGCCACUAGGGAAGCUUCAGAGUCCUGGGUGUGAAACAGCCUCAAGCAGGAGAUCAAUCUAAAGGAAAAAAAUGGUGGCUGGGGAAUAAUUGGCAGCUCCGGUGAACGUGGGCUGGUUAUAACAGUGACAAUAUGUUCCAGUGGAAUAUCACAAACCUCUCUCCCUUAUUUCCAACUUGGCACAUUUCAAACUCAACAAAAGCUGAACAAUGUAUCCCUUGGUUAUUUGUCUAUUGUCUUGUAUUUUUAUCUUGCUGCUUCAUUGAGGUUUUCUCGUGUGUUGAGUUGACAAUCUGGACAUUUCCCCCGAAUGGAUUAGGGGAUUAAGAAGGAAUACGAAUUCUAAAAAUAAUAAUCCUUCAGUAGCUUGGUGCUUAAAAACAGAUCUGGGACUGAUCCAUAUACCAGAAAACAGGCAAACCUGUACUAAUUUGCUAAACCCAAAUGUUGAUUUAAAAAGCACACAUGCACACACACUCAUAAAUUGAACUCAAACUUCUUUUGAAGGAUGCCUACCAGAUUGAAUAGGAACUGACUCCAAAAAACUUUCAGUCAAAACAAAAUUGCAACAUAAAAUUUUUUCCCAAGUGAGCUGAUAUUUAAUUUGGUUCAAAUUCCUGUUUUUUUUUUCCUUUAAAAAUAAGCUUUGUGUGUGGAGCUUCACUCCUGGGGCCACGCAGCCCCCCAGCCCUCUGCCCACCCAUUAGCACCUCCUCCCAGCACGAGGUUUUCUCUGGGGUCUGACUUGUGCAAAAUGGGCUGAACAAAGACAAGAACUCUGCCCUUGCUUCUGGUAUUCUUGCAUUUUAGAGCUUGGCAGCCUUUCUGCUUCCCUCCACUAAACAUGGAGCAUGGAUCCUGUAUUAUUCCCUAUUUUAUUUAUGUGGUUGAAUGUAUUUCCUAACGUUGUUCAUGAUAGAAAACAUCACAAUCAUUUUGGUGUCAGUUCCAAGUGAUCUCCCCAUAGUCGUCUCCCCAUAGUCUUCCUGCCUUGAUUGGCCAGUCUAAAUAGAGUCAGUUGAAGACAUGGGUAACCUAACCUGAAAUAAAAUUUUGCUUUGGUUCCUACUCUACAUCUAGAGUUAAGAAGUACAUUUUGGUCACCAGACAGUCUCAGGCUGUGAAAGGCUGUUUCGUUUUCUCUUCUCUUCGUAUGCUCUUGGUGCCUUUACCGCUGGCGUGUACAGGAAGAAAACGUCUUUCCAGGAAGGCCACGGAGGCUCUUUAAGCUUCACCAGAGCAAUGCUGAACAGUAAGCCUCUAACUCUCCCAGACCAAUCUUGGUCCACCUGGCAGUUCCAUGUGAGGAGCGACCAAAGGCUCUGUGUCCUGAUUAACAGGAGGGAGUGUCAUCAACCAUAUUAAAGUCCCUGGAAACUGGCUUUUGUGGGUGUUGAUGGGGGUGCAUGUCCCAUACCUGGCAGGCACGUGGUGAAAGGCAAGCCUGAGGCCCCACGGGUUGACAUGCUGGGCCACAGAGACCCCAUCCAGGUUUUCCACCCCUCACAGAACUUCCCCCGUCCCAGCUGCGAUUCCACUUUACAUAUCAGUGCCUUACAGAAUCCAUUUCCAAAUAGGUUUGGAGCCAAUUUUUGAAAAUUUCAGCUCAGUAAGGGAAAUCAUACUUACAUCAUCCUGAUUUAGAACUCUAGGCCUUCUAAGUUUGGCUCAUCUUAACACUAGCUUUCAUUUAUUGACUGGCAGAGACUCUUCUAGAAUUACUAUAUUCCCUGAAACAAGCUAGAACGUAGUUUUCAUUGGCCACAUAAAAUACAAGUUUUCUUUUCUCAUGCAUAAGCAAUAUAUAAAUACUGUCUGUUCUGAACUAUUUAAGUUAUAGGAUCCCCUUUCACUCUCCCCGGCCCAGUCCAGGCCAGCUCCCAGAGAAGAAAGACCACCCUCAUGCCUUGGUGUGUGCGUAUUAGUCUAUUCUUUUCUGCUCUCUCACAUAUAUGUCUGUGGGGCUGGGGAAAUCAUCCAGUGUUGUUUCGGUGGCUUCUUUUUCCAAACACGAAUGCUAUCACCCUAUAUGCACCAUUCCACAGCUUUCUCUUUUAACUGAAUAAUGUAUCUGAGAGCUAGCCAAGUUGUUCUAUGAGACUGGUUAUUCCUUCGAAGAACUGCAUGGGCUGCCAUAAAAUAAAAAGAGCAGAGUUUGUUUAGCAGUUUCUCUUUAUUUCAUAGAUGAGAAAAUGGAGGUCCAGAGAAGUUAAGUGACUUAUCCAAAGUCACCCAGCUACUAAGUGCUGGAGCGUGGGUGAGAACACAGGCUGGGUUGAUUGUCCAACACGCGUGGAUCUUUCUCUAAUGUCAAGUUCCCGCUGUGAUGCUGCCUUCUUUCUCCCCUCUCUGCACUUCUCUCUCACCUGCUUUUCUCUUGAAGCUACUUUGGGCUGUAGUUCCACAUUUCUGAUAUGAAUCUCCCAAUUCUUAGGACCAGAUCUACACCAACCUAGAAAGUACACCAGGAUGAACAAAUGUUUUGAAAAACAUUUUACACAGGCAUGAAGUGCCUUUCAGCAAUUUAAUAUUUGAUUUGAUUUGAUUUUGCCAAUGAAAUGGUUUUGUAAACCCUUGGGCUAUCUUAAUCCUACCUAUCUUGUAAAGACUUUUCCCGAGCAGAUUCACUUCCCAUGGUCAAUAAGAAAGCGUGUAGGAGGGCCGUGGGCAGCAAUUGCUUGGGAAAUACUGCCCUCACAAACACAAAUAUGGCGAUCACAAUGGUUCCUAAACAAAUGUUGAAGGCAGUAUUGUGGGUCAACAGGAGUUGCUGUUUUUGGAAUGGCUGCAACAUCAGAAUGGGGAGGAUAGGCUCAGGAACUCAGUUGCUUUAUGAACAAACGUGCCUUUAUCCUCCCUUAAAGACUUUCAUAGAAUUUGGGACUCAGUGGCUAAUUCUAAAGAGGAUCCAUUCUUGAAAACCAUCCAUUUAACGCAGCAGUUUGAGAAGACAUCAAUAAAUAGGAAUGGGUGAACUAUCUCAGAAAAAAAAAAUUGUAGUUAAAAAAAGUCCUGUUUGUAAAUUCUGCUUCCCCAUGGAAUGCACUAAUUUUUGUAUCUCAGUACCAAGAUUUGGAACUUCACAUAGAUGUAUUUGAACAUAAAAUUUUAAAGCUGUUGUUGCUCUGGCUAUGAGCUACAGACACCCCCCCGUCGACCACCUGGCUAGUUUUCUGAGAGUUUCUGCGGGAAAGGUUUACAAUGGCUGGUUCCUGGUUUGAUGUCAUAUCGAUAAAUUAUGGUGCUUUAAACAGAUGUGAUCUCACAGCGUGGAAUCCUUCAGGGUAAAGCUCAUGAAAAGGUUUCUUUCCUCCCUCGGUUUCAUGGUAGUUUUGUUGUUUGGAGGUUUUAUGUUGUUCAUUUAGUUCCCUGGCUAUUGGGGUUUUAUAGUCGUAUUUCCUUUGUUUAAUAUAAUUUCCUUUUUUCUUUUAGCUAUUUUUGUUAGGGUGCCCAGAGGCUUCAGUUAUGAGUGGCUGUAAAGUAAAAUAUAUUAUGAUUAUUACAAUGAUAAAGUAUAAGCUUUUAAGAGUCUGCUUAUAUUGACCCAUAUAUUCUGUUUCUCCCUCUCUCUGAGAUACACACAGAGGCACACUGGAAAUGCAAUAGAACAACGGCUGCCAAUUUAAAAGCAGAAGUUAAGAAGAGCAAACCCGAAUGUACAGCGAGAGAGCUUCGGGCUGGAUUGGCUCCCGGCAGAAGCGAGACUGGAAAUCUUGGAUUCUGUUGCCUCUUCUCUCCUCUGUGAUGUGGAAGAAGAUGUCAGCACCUGGGUGUGGACUUGGUCAUUAACGCUUAUUUCCCAACCUUUGCCAAGCUGCCUAACUCCCUGGAGUCUUAGUUUUCUCAUGUGUGGGAGACAAUGUGUUCUUUAUCCUGAAGUCAUUGUGAGGACUGAGUGAGAGGAUGUAUGUGGAAGGAAGCACCAAGCGUGGUUCCUGGUAUAUACUAGGUACUCAAUAAAUGUGGACUAGCGUGAAUAUGAACUCCACUCACUUCGUGCCCCCUCAUGCUGGCUGGUCCCCGGUGCUCUGGGCUUCCCAAGUCAUGGCAGUUUUCCCAAAGUGGCCCCUAAAGUCAUGUCAGUCCUUGGGGCCUCAUUACUUAGGUUUCCUGUGCCAUCUGCUCCCUUCCAGUCAUAGAUUCCAUGCUCUGUUCUGACAGAAGCUUGCUUCUGCUGGCUGUCACACUUAAAAAGUGGCGGAUGACCAUUCGAGCGUUAGAUGAUAAUGAUUUAUGAACACCAUCCCUCCAGACAGCAUUUGCAGUAUUACAAGUUUUGCUUUUAUUUUAUUUGUCACUAGGAAGGCACUGAGAACAAAAGGAAACUCUCUCGAAUGGUGGGAUCGAGGCACUGUAGCACAUUUUUUAUGGAGGGGAAGGAGGCUUUUCGCCUGGAAACCUUUCAAAUCACGCCCUAUAAGUAGCUCACGAGUCUCUCUACUCACACUGAUCUCUUCAUCUGCUGAGUUGAACAGUGUCCCCCAAAUUCAUGGCCACCCGGGACCUGUGAAUGUGACCUUAUUUGGAAAUAGGGUCAUUGCAGAUAUACUCAAAUUAAGACGAGGCCAUAUUGGAUUAGGGGGAGCCCUAAAUUCAAUAUGACUGGAGUCUUUAUAAGAAGAGGAAAAUUUGGCCACAGAGAUAUAGACCUACGGGGUAUCAGGCCCUGUGAAGACAGAGUCAGACAUUGGAACGAGGUGUCAAGUCAAGGAUCAACAAGGAUUGCUGACAACCAGCGCAAGACGGAAGAGGCAAGGAAGGACUCUUCCUUAGAGACUUCAGAAGGAACAGGCCCUGCCAACACCUUGACUGUGGACUUCUAGCCUCCAGAACUUUGAGGGAAUAAAUUUCUGUUGUUUCAAGCUGCCCAGUCUGUGGUGCCCCAGGAAACUAACACUGUGACUCAGCAGGCUGUUUGCUGACUGUGCAGGAUUAGCCCAGUGGGUCCGGCAACUGGGAGGGGUCGCAGGGAGAUUUCGAUGGUAGGCAAGUGAUGAUGGAGUGGAGAGCACGAGGUGUGUGCUCUCCAACUGGAGGAAGGGCGUGUGUAGGCUGUGGGGAAGGACAGUAGGACAGAUGUUGCUGAGUGAGUGACUACCUCUGUUUAAAGAGAGAGCGCUUCGCUUUACAAAAGGAAUGCUCUCUUAAAAUACUCCACGUGAGCUAACUUGGCCUUGAAUUUCUAGGAGGGACUGAAGUUCGAAAGGAUCAAUGACAUUUCAAGACACUCUAAGUCUGUUUACAAAACGAAAAAUCUACUCCCCUUCCCAGUUGGGGAUAUUUUUUAUUUUGUAAGUGUCUAUCCUGAUGCUUGUGAAAGUGAGGGCUUCCUGAAAGGCAAGCGAGAGCCCAAGGAGGUUUGGGAGAGUGAAGGGAGGCCGACUUUUUCUCAUUUUUUACAGGGAAAAAAAAAAUCAUACAACUCUGCUAAUUUAAGAAUUUGAGAAUGAUCUCUUUAGACACGAUAAUUUAUUUCUGAAUGUUAAGGAAUGGAAUUUAGCAAGAAGAGCCUAUUGUGUGUCAAAAUAGAGGAGGUCCUUACUCCAUCAUUUGAAAUAGCAGAGAAAAACAUUGUUGUUGAACCAUCUACUCAAUAAACAUUUUCCAAGUGCCUGCUGCAUGGUAGACACUCCAUUGGGCACCCGGGGAGAAAGAUACCAAUAAUCUUGAUCCUGGCCCUCAAUGGCAUUGCGGAGGGGAUACACAGGCUUAUAAAUAUGUAAUAAUAGCAAUACUAAUGCUUCUGAAUGCCCACAAAAUGCCAGGCCCCAGGCCAAAUGCUUUACAGCCAAGAGAGCAUCAUUUAUUCCCCAACAACCCUGGAAGUAGGUUUUGUUACUGGUCCCAUUUUGCAGAUGAGGAAAUAGGCUUGGAGAGGCUGAGAAACUUGUCUAGUGUCAUUCAACUAACGAGGUGGGGAAGCUGCAAUUCACACCUGGGGCUGGGGCCCUAAAGGCUCCCCUCUUCACCACUUUGAGUGGCUGAGAUGUAGGUGUUGCAUGGCCUCAAGAGUCAGACUCCCUGGGAUUGACUCUCAUACCCAUCUGCUGCUAAUUGUGCCCUUGAACACAUUACCUCACUGCUUGGCUCCUCAGAGGAGGCUAAUGGCAGUACCCGCCUUGUAGGGUUGUCGUGAGAACUAAAUGAUCUCAUAUGAGCAAAGUGUUCAAUGCAGCACCUGACACGAUGGGGACCGUCAUGAAACAUCAGUUUUUGUUACUACAUGCUGGUGGGGCUACCGUGGGGGUGUAACCGGAGAGCUGAGGAGCAAGAGGAGCGCCCAGAUGAGGCUCUGCCCCCUCCUGCGUGGAGCUUUGGGUCUGGUCCAGGCUUGGAUCUCUUUUGAGUUCAAAGGGAGACUUGUGUGUGAGGGAAGCUUUGGGACUGUGGGUGGUGGGGGAGGCGAGGAGCAAACACCAGGGGAUUGACUUUCACAGAAUCUCAUUUAAAAAGUGAUAGCUAGUGGUUUCAGUCUAUUUAAGUGUAUUCCGCCAUAGUAUUUGCCAUAUCGACCACAAUCAAGGAGGUGGGAGUGGAGGUGUACAGGAAAGUUCCCUAGGCAAAAGUUCCUCCAGUUUGAGUAGGUUAGGGAAUUAAGGGUCUUUUCCAAAUACAAGUGCAUUUGGGAGCAGUAGGACAGUUGCUUCUGCUAGUUGGGAAUGUUUUACCUCAGAUCAUUUGAACACAUGAGUACCAGCAGAAAGCUGGGUUCUGAGAAAAUGGCAGGUAAAUUUACAGGAUAGGUAAAUUGAUGGGGACUGGGGUGAGUCUAAAGCUACCUGGUCCUGGUGGCAUUUUGAAGUGCAGAGGCUUGAACUUGAAUCGAGGGCUUGGCUAACCCCUAUGGAACCUUCAAACUUUGGCUCAAAUAUCACCUCCUCUAGGAAGCCUUCUCUGAUCCCCCCAGAGCUCCUCAUCUGUGCUCUCCUCCCACAAUCUGAACACCUCGAGUGCCGUGCUCGCGGUCCUUUGUUGGAGUGAUUCCUUGAGGAGGCGGCUCUCUUACUCCACCCCCCGUCGUACUUCUAUCAGCUUGGAAGCAGCACAUGACUGGAAAAACCGCAAACCUUUCUUGGAAGCAAAGUAAACCUGGCUGGCCUGGGUUCAGGAGAGGGAAGAGACAUUGAUUCAUCUUUCCUACCGUCCAAAAAAAGAAGAAGGAGAUCAAUGGAGCUUUGGCAAGAUCCGCUGGGAGGAGAAUCUGCACUGUCAAGGCCAACAGGGCCACCCAUUAUCUCCUUAACACGCUCUUCCAACAUGGUGGGCAAUUGGGGAAUUUUACACAAACGCUUCAGAUCAGCUGUAUUGUCUGGGGCCAGCUCUACCACCUGUGCCUGAGAUGUUGAAAAUGAUUCUUCUAAAUAUCUUCUCAGGCAGCUUUGGGAUGAUUUCCAACUUGAGAAAAGAAGUUGAGUGUAGAAAAUUGCCUUCUUCUUCUUCUUUUUUUUUUAAGGACAUACUAUUCCACGUUGGCGUAGACAGGCUGUAAAGGUAUAGAUUUUGUUUGAAAUUUCUCUUCAGUGGAGAAGAGCAUCCUUGCUCUGUGUUGGCAGAAAGAGUCCUUUCCUUAAUCUAAGCCAAGGCACAGCCACAAAGCCGGCCGACAGGUAUAAUGUGUUUGGAAUGUAUUGUUGUUUGUUACCAGGAGGGCUUAGAGCCCACAACUCACCCCAAACAAGCGCUUGGACUACAAAGGGCUGUAAAUCUAAACUCACUCAAUUUCUCUUUCUUAGGGCUCACCCCUCUUUGCAGAUGGCUUCCUCCUCUGACUUGUUACUGUCACCUGAUUCUUUGAUGGAGACUAAAAAAAAAAAAAAGCCUGAAUGAAUUGGAGCUUUGGAGCCCCCACAUGGUGAACCACUAUAAGGGGGUGGGUGCAGGGCCCUGUGCAUCCGGGUUAGAUCUGCUGGCUCGUAGCUGGAGAGUUGUUUCCUGAGUUUGGGGGAAGGCAGAGUGCCAUGGUGUCAAGAAUGUGGACUUGGGAGCAGAUAGACUUGGAUUCAAAUUCCACUUCUACCGCUUACUAAUUGAGGGACUUCAGCCCUCGCAUAGUUCUCUUUCUCAUUAUUUUCUCUUCUUGAAUGGGUAAUACUUUUACAAAUUUGAAAAUUUUUUAAAUAUAAAAACGUAUAUGCUUAUCAUCUUGUUCUCUCCUCUGUUCCUAUCCAUCUUGCUCCCCUCUUCCCUCAUCCCUCUAGGCAACCAUUGUUAUUAGACUCUUAUUGUUUCUUCUGGUGGUUUUUAAUGAAAAUAUAGCAAAAAUAUGAAUAUAUAUUAUUAUUUUCCUUCCUUUCUUACCCAAAAGCAAUCAUACUUUAUAUACUGUCUUGAAACAGUUUUAAAAAUUUUUUUCAUUUAAUAUCAGAACAUAAAGAUCUUCCUCAUUUUUUAUAGCUGCAUAGUAUUCCCUGGUUUGGAUGUACCAUCGUUUAUUCAACCAGUCUUUUGCCAUUUGAAUAAUGCCACAGUGAACGACAUGAUGUGCAUGUCCUAUGUGUGCUGUAUGCCUGUAGGAAUAUCUUUGCUGGGGCAAAGGAAAAACGCAUUUGUAGCUUUAGUAGUUCUUGCACUGUGUGUUUCUGACUCAGAAUUUGUUUUAAUGGAAUGGUGGUUGGAAUGUUGCUGUCAUUUCACAUUAAAGAGUAUUUUAAGAUAGAGUUCUAUGCAAUUUAUUAUUGUAUUUACUUCCAGGUACACAAUGCAGUGGUCGAGAGCGCGGACUCUAGAGUUGGACGGUCCUCUGUUUGAAUCUUAGCUUUGCCACUUACUGGACGUGCCACAUCAGGCCGGUUGGUUACUGUUUUUGACUCUCAGUUUCCAUCAAGUGUAAAAUGCCCAUUAGCUGGUUGUGAGGAUUAAAUGAAGCCAUGGAUGCAAAGUGCUUAGCACAGAAAAGCAAUCAACAAUAGUAGCUAUUAAUUGCCAUUAGGCAGAAAGCUUCCAGUCUGUCUGUUAAUCUUUUAGCCUCCAGGGUCUGGAACAGAGUUAGUCUCUUAGUAGUUUCUCAGUAAAUAUUUAUUGAUUGAAUACUGUAGGGACGCCAUUGAAGAUGUUAUCACUUCCUUCAGUCCAUGUCUUCUUCAUGAGGAGAAAUCUCUGUCUGUUCUUUCUCAAGAUUAACUGUACUUUUAAACAAGCAGUUUAAUUUUCUUCUGUGGACACUGUGCAUUGUGUAAUGGCUCAUGUUUCCCUCUUUUCACCUUGGCUGCUAGGAGUCUCAGAACCCAAUUUUCUAUUCUCCUCUUAAGUGGUAUCCAGACUUUUAGGGAAGUUGUGUGGCAAACCAGUGUUUCUCAAACUUGGCCAUACAGUAGAAUCAGCUGGGCACUUAAAAAAUUCCUGAUAGCCCAGUCACACUGAAUACCAAUUAAGUCGGGAUCUCUGGGGGUGGGACUCAGGCAUGAGUACUUUUCACAGCUCCUCAGGGGUUCUAACACAUGGACAAGGUGGAGAACAGGUAUUCUAAAGUAACCUUGCCACUAGCUUUAUCUCAUUUUCCUAUCCUUAUUUUUCUUUCACGGUAGUAAAAAUUAUUUCUCUUGUCCUCUCCAUUUGUCCCUUCACCUUCCAUGUGGAAAGUAAUAGAUGGCUUCUUUCAAGUCAUCAACAACAUGAUGGUGAAGGGAAUGGAAAAGGAAAUCAGGCCUCUCUCCAGAGAAAAAUUCAUUUAUUCACUUAUGAGUGCAUCAUUCAUUUACAUUCAGCAAGUAUUUAUGAAGUGCUUUGGGCUCAGCUCCCUGUUGUGAGGAUGGGAAAAACCUCUAUGUUUGGCGAAAAUAACGUCUAAGAGAGACUCUUCUUAGCAAAUACGUUUUUUGGGUCUAUGAUAAUUUCAGGUUGUCUAAUAGGAGCUGUGCUUCUGACAUUUCUUUUGCCUUCCAGGGAGGAUCUUGGCAUUUACCCAGAGAAACAUCCUAACUGUCCACAGCGGGGCGUGGUAAAGAACCGACAACGUGUCAGUCACUAGAAGGCGUCUUGGCCCCAGGAAAGCUAAGUAUUUGGAUGAUGAGGCAUAGAGUGGAUUUGGGCUUAUGUCUUUCAUCACUUGGCUGAGUCCUUUGUCAGAUGAAAAGGCAGCAGCUGAGGGCAUUAGUGAAACAAUCGUCGGCCUAAGCUCCCUGUGAGAGCUGCAGACUCAGGUGCAGAGGGCUGGCGGUCCAGGUGUGGGCUGGCUACGGCGGCAGCGAGCCUCAUCAACAUAGACCCACUGUGCUCGGAGUCCAUCUCCCGCUGGCCGUGGCCAAGAUGCAUCCUGGCUGCAUGCAGCCCCAGGGAAGGAUCCUCCAAAAGCAACAGGCCUUGGUCAGCAGUGAGCCAAGGAGGGACAAGCGAAGCAAAGAGGCCCCGGCAGGCCCCUGGUGACAGGGUUAUCUGGAGAGUCACUGACACGUCUCUAGUUGGCAAGAGCCCUUUAUAGAACAAAGACAAGUGAGGGUGAGGAAGCCACGCCUCAGUGUAUUCACAGACGAAGUCCGGCAUCCUGGUAUCACUUAUGUCAUCAGAAGUGCGUAGAUUCCAGGCUGUAGGGCUGUUUUUGUUCAAUAGGUGGAAACAAAGAUUCAUGAACCAUCUUGAAAUUGUUGCUGAAUUCAGGGGCGGAGGACAAUUUGGACUUCUUAUCCGAAGAUGGAACCCCCUGUUGAUUUUGUGGGCUUGGCUGUCUCAACGGCAGGCAGUGCGGGAGUAGAAGCAAGCCAGCGGCGGUGGCCACACCUCCGCUGGGUCGUGCCUUCGCAGCAGGCAUUCCUGCCAAGCAAUAACAUUCUGCCCUGGGAUCACC